CAAUAGCGUAUAUUAAAGUUGUUGCAGUUAAAAAGCUCGUAGUUGGAUUUCUGAUCGAGACAUCAGGUCGGGUCCGAGAGGAUCAUGUACUUUGAUUUUGUUUUGAUCAUCCUUGGGGAGAGCAUUUCUGGCAUUCAGUUGUCGGGAUUGGGAUCCUCAUCGUUUACUGUGAAAAAAUUAGAGUGUUCAAAGCAGGCCUCGGCCUCUGAAUACAUUAGCAUGGAAUAAUAAGAUAGGACUUUGGUGGUCUAUUUUGUUGGUUUGCACGCCAAAGUAAUGAUUAAUAGGGAUAGUUGGGGGUAUUCGUAUUCAAUUGUCAGAGGUGAAAUCCUUGGAUUUAUGGAAGACGAACUACUGCGAAAGCAUUUACCAAGGAUGUUUUCAUUAA
RNAcentral lists this ribosomal RNA (388 nucleotides) under uncultured eukaryote. RNAcentral's name for it is "partial 18S ribosomal RNA". It matches the Rfam family "Eukaryotic small subunit ribosomal RNA", at positions 592 to 976 of the family's 1831-position model. The record is from RNAcentral.